RNAcentral lists this ribosomal RNA (484 nucleotides) under uncultured bacterium. RNAcentral describes it as "partial 16S ribosomal RNA". It matches the Rfam family "Bacterial small subunit ribosomal RNA", at positions 29 to 507 of the family's 1533-position model. The record is from RNAcentral.
AUUGAACGCUGGCGGCAUGCUUUACACAUGCAAGUCGAACGGCAGCGCGGGCUUCGGCCUGGCGGCGAGUGGCGAACGGGUGAGUAAUACAUCGGAACGUGCCCAGUAGCGGGGGAUAGCUCGGCGAAAGCCGGAUUAAUACCGCAUACGACCUGAGGGUGAAAGGGGGGGAUCUUCGGACCUUGCGCUAUUGGAGCGGCCGAUGGCAGAUUAGCUAGUUGGUGGGGUAAAGGCCUACCAAGGCGACGAUCUGUAGCUGGUCUGAGAGGACGACCAGCCACACUGGGACUGAGACACGGCCCAGACUCCUACGGGAGGCAGCAGUGGGGAAUGUUGGACAAUGGGCGAAAGCCUGAUCCAGCAAUGCCGCGUGUGUGAUGAAGGCCUUCGGGUUGUAAAGCACUUUUGGCGGGAACGAAAAGGACUGUGCCAAUACCACGGUUCGAUGACGGUACCCGCAGAAUAAGCACCGGCUAACUACGUG